Molecule: ribosomal RNA, 192 nt
Filed under: Triticum aestivum (bread wheat)
Lineage: Eukaryota; Viridiplantae; Streptophyta; Magnoliopsida; Poales; Poaceae
Description: partial small subunit ribosomal RNA
Source: RNAcentral
AUGGCGUCCACCAAGGUGCAGCGGAUCAUGACCCAGCCCGUCAACCCCAUCUUCCGCUUCCUCCAGAGCAAGGCGUGCAUCCAGAUCUGGCUCUUCGAGCAGAAGGACAAGCAGAUCGAGGGCAGGAUCAUCCAUCUGCGGGAAACUUUGUUAAUUGGACGACACACUUGUUACACAAAGGAAGUUCUCUGA